CCUACGGGAGGCAGCAGUGAGGAAUAUUGGUCAAUGGACGAGAGUCUGAACCAGCCAAAGCGCGUGAAGGAUGACUGCCCUAUGGGUUGUAAACUGCUUUUAUAUUGGAAUAAAACGUUCCACGUGUGGGAUUUUGUAUGUACCAUAUGACUAAGGCUCGGCUAACUCCGUUCCAGCAGCCGCGGUAAUACGGAGGAUCCGAGCGUUAUCCGGAUGUAUUGGGUUUAAAGGGAGCGUAGGUGGAUGGUUAAGUCAGUUGUGAAAGUUUGCGGCUCAACCUGAAAAUUGCAGUUGAAACUGGCAGUCUUGAGUACAGUAGAGGUGGGCGGAAUUCGUGGUGUAGCGGUGAAAUGCUUAGAUAUCACGAAGAACACCGAUUGCGAAGGCAGCUCACUGGACUACAACUGACACUGAGGCUCGAAAGUGUGGGUAUCAAACAGGAUUAGAUACCCGAGUAGUC
Molecule: ribosomal RNA, 460 nt
Filed under: uncultured bacterium
Lineage: Bacteria
Description: partial 16S ribosomal RNA
Rfam family: Bacterial small subunit ribosomal RNA
Source: RNAcentral